RNAcentral lists this ribosomal RNA (253 nucleotides) under uncultured bacterium. RNAcentral's name for it is "partial 16S ribosomal RNA". It matches the Rfam family "Bacterial small subunit ribosomal RNA", at positions 524 to 776 of the family's 1533-position model. The record is from RNAcentral.
UACGAAGGGGGCUAGCGUUGCUCGGAAUCACUGGGCGUAAAGCGCACGUAGGCGGGUUGCUAAGUCAGGGGUGAAAUCCUGGAGCUCAACUCCAGAACUGCCCUUGAUACUGGCGGUCUCGAGUCCGGGAGAGGUGAGUGGAACUGCGAGUGUAGAGGUGAAAUUCGUAGAUAUUCGCAAGAACACCAGUGGCGAAGGCGGCUCACUGGCCCGGUACUGACGCUGAGGUGCGAAAGCGUGGGGAGCAAACAGG